AGCGCGUUACAAAUAUUUUAAUAGGCCUCUCUUUUUUUUUAUCUCCCUCUCGUCACUAGGGGGUGCUGCAGCACCCCCAGCACCCCCACUUCCCGCGGCCAUGCUGUAUCAACAACACUGCGCACAAGAUUUUUUUUAUUUUUUUUUGCAUGUAUUUGAAUGGUUUUCAGUGUACUUCUAUUCAAAGUUAUCAUUAUUAAUCUUAUUAUGAUUACAAAACGGAAUUAAUUAUUUUAGUAAAAAAAAAAAAAAAGUAACUGGCAAACCAUUUUUUAAUUCUCGCGACCCAACACAUUCAAACACAUUCAACUUACAUUGAAAGAUUUCAAGCCAGAUGUAGUAAGACACACUCGAGUUUCACAAGAAUCCUCGUAUAAUCCUGAGGGAGUUGACUCUGCAGUUGAAGCAGACAGUGCAUGUUCAAAUAGUGAUGUAGAGGUAACCACUUAUUUGCCUGAAGUAAUUGAGAAUAAUUUUGCAGCAGCGUUGCUCAAGUUAGAGCAUUUUGCACAUGUCCCAGGCAAAAAAAUGUAUGAGUUCUUAGAGGAACUGCACUACUUACAUUCAGCAACAUUACGCCUCUCCAUUGAGAUUCUUGAAGAGGUAUUUCAGAAACAUAGUCCUACAACUGAUAAGUCUGCGGUAACAGAAGUAGCAACUGCUCUCUGCACUUCUAAUCCAUUGCUCAAAGCCAUAGAGAAGGGGGGUCCCCUAAACUCAACUUAUCUCCACAACAAGUAUUAUCAAGAAAGCUUUAACGUUGUAGAACCCAUUGAAUAGGUUCUUUAUGCCAAAGAAAACAGAUGUUUUCAGUAUGUUCCUGUACUGAAGUUGUGGGUAGAUAAAAACCACAGAGAACAACAGAGUAAAAUGGCGAGUGGUGAACAUCACACUUACAAAUCUCCUCAGGAUGGUUCACACUUCCAGCAAAACAUUUUUCUGUUAGGAGAUGAGAUGAGGAAAUUGUAACGUUUAUACAUAGAUGAUUUUGAAGUUUGCAAUCCUCUGGGUACUUCUCGCAGGAAACAUCAACUUUGUGGAAUCUACUGGACUCUGAGUAAUUUGCCUCCAGGCUCACAUUCAUCACUAUCAUCAAUUUACUUGGCAUUGUUGUGUAAAACUGAUGAUGUAAAUAAGUAUGGUUAUGACCAUGUCUUAUAUCCUCUUCUUCAAGGCAUGAAAACUCUGGAGCUAGACUAUUACUUGGCAGAUUUGUUAAAGGUACGAUUCAUGUUGUUGCGGAGGAUAAUUUGGGGGCUCACAGUAUUGCAGGUUUUAAUGAGAGCUUUUCUAGUGGGUAUAUCUGUCGAUUUUGCACAGGAACAAAAACAGAAAUCCAAACAAAAGAGGACAAAUCAGGUGCAUUCAUGGACAAAAGUUGUGUUAUCACCAAAACGCUUGCCCACUUCAGCGUUCAGACAGGCUAUCCUCCAGAUAUUAUGCAUGAUCUGGCAUAGUUCCAGUGGAGCUUGCACGGUGUUUGGCAUUGCUUAUAUCCAAGAAGUAUUUCACACUUCAGACCCUCAACAAAUCCAUCCAGCACUUCCCUUACAAGUGGGCAGACAAGACAAAUAGGCCACAUGUAAUCAUCAGCUCAUGAUUUCAUAUCACUUGAGAUCAUCCAGUUUUGAAGAAACAUCCCUCGAGGUUACAAACGUUUCAACACUCCCUCUGGAUUUUUUGAAACCAGAAAUAGCUUUCAGACUAUUGAAAAGAACUUCCCUGGUACAACUGAAGUUCACCUUUCCAAGUGUGUGUCAAGCAAAGGUUUACAUUUCAGAAAUGGGAUGAUAGUUGCUCAUGGUUCUACAAGUUGACUCCCUGACAUUGGAGAGAUUUGUGUUGUUAAGGAGAGACUGUGUUUCAUGGUGAGAAGGCUUUCUGGGUGGUAUAGGGAACAUUUCAGAGCGUUUGAGCUGAGUGUACAUCCUUCCAGAGAAACUGUUUGAUUGAACUUGGUGAACUGGCUGAUCACUACCCUUUGGCAGACUACUUUGUUGGACCUCUAAGACUGGUGACAUUAAAAAGAUACAUAAACUUAAGGUUUGUUUACUUUAAUAUUGAAUGAAUCUCAAUGGACUUAUUUCAGGGAAGUGUGACUUCACAAUGCCACAUUUAUUUCCCAGCUCUUUAUUUUGAUUUCAUAUAUUCAAAUGAAUGGAUCAUAAGUGGUACAGAUUCAGACCAAAGCAACUUGUCUUCUCCUGAGUCCACCUGCUCAAGAUCCACUGCUUGGCCCAUUGUUUUCCCCAUUCCCCGGUUUGCUAAUGAUACUCAGCUACAGCUGGACAGAAAAUGCUAAAUGCUGCUUUUAAAGAAACUGGAGCUUAGUUGAAUCCUAAUACUAAACUUAAUCUGCUAUUCUUGAUGGCUUAGCUGAAACGCUCAUCAAGUACAAAGUGUACCUCUCUGACGGGGAGGUUGAUGAGGUAGCAGAAGCUCUGGUAACUACACAUCCAUGUUUAAAAGAGCCAUGUUCAGUGUCUGGGUAUGGCGGAUGGAAGACAAGCCUGAAGUAUAAACUUGCUAACUACAGAACAAAACUCCGACGGCUUGGAUGCCCAGAAGUUACUGUGAAUGCCUUAACACACAAACCUGAGAGCAAAUGCAGUCCAGCAUAUGGUGUAAAGAAACCAAAAAAAGCCGAAGUGAAUUACCUAUCCGGCCGAUGAAACAGCAGAGACACUAGAAGAGAUAAGAGUGGCACUCCUCUCAGAUGUAAAUAAGAGACACAAUGAGCACAAGUUGGCAGCAAUGAUGGACAAGACCUUUGCACUAAGAAGGCAAGAGGUAGUUGCGGAGGCACCCAUGAUAGCUGAUUUCAAAAUGAGGUGGCCAGCUCUUUCAAUGUGCGUGAGGUACAGUAAGUGAAUGACUGGACUGGAUGUGUCACAAUACAUGUUGACAGGAUCUGAGGUGACUCAAACUGAUGAGGAUUUACUGAAGACAUGCAAUAGCAGCCUUUGCUGGCCUUCUGACAAGGGAAACUAAUAUUUAGAUCAUGUAUUAUGCAUUAACGUUUCUUGAACAGAUAGAACUGCUAUUUCAAGCAUGUACCAAAAAGGUAACUGAGUUUUGUCUACAGUUUUUGUUAUGUUUUUUGUAUGUGAGUGCAGAGUUUAAGAGAAUCACAACAAAUCAUUUCAGUCAAAGUUCUUCUCCGAGCUUGAUGUUCACUCUGGAAACCUGAUGAAGGCGUAUGCCAAGAAAGGUGGAGUUCAAGGGAGAAAAAUCAAGACCAACAUGGCACCCAUAACCCAGUUGGGGGUGCCAACAUCAGUCUGAAGAAGGAUUGGUUAGAGCGAUGUGAUCGAAUCUACUACUACUGCCUUGAUUUCGCUGGUACUCUGUAAUGCUGCUUGAGUUAAUAGAGAGUAAUGGAGGAUUUAGUUCAGAUCAGUGCUGAUAUGGAUGUCGAAGUUGAGGUAGCAGUGCUAGUUCAAGAAAUCCUCCGCCAACUUCACAUUCUCUCUGAGACAGAGGAAGCGACAACUGGACGGCCAUCGUACCUUUUACCACCUGAUAUAAUUGAAGCUCACCUCCUUUUGGGGCACACUGCUGGAGAAAUGGAGUGUGCGAGAGAACAGUUCGUCGAAGGAUGACACAAUAUGGCAUAAGACUUCUGACAUAGGAAAAACAGAGAUACACAUUAGACCUUCUGAAAAAGGAGAAAUCAAAUCACCUGGAGUAACGUUAGUUAACACCAGCUGUCCCAGCAGCCUUUCCUGGAUGAUGGCAGCUCCCGCCAAAACGCGAGGCGCGCAGGGCGCAUACCAGCCAGCAAAGCGCUCACUGUCUAUAGAAAACUAGUGAAAAAGUCUAUUAACUCCACUGAACGACAACGAUCUGGAUCAAACUGUGAUCCAAAUUCUGCAGCAUCAUCCCAACUGUGGUUACCAAAUGAUGUUGGGGCACCUCAGUGCUCAAGGCAUCCGCAUACAGAGACAAUGUGUGCAGGAAUCGAUGCGGCGUGUGGAUUCUCAGGGAGUUUUGAUGCGCACCCUUCAAUUAAACCCUCGAAGGCGCAGGAGGUACUCUGUACCAGCGCCAAACAGUUUGUGGCACAUCGACGGAAAUCACAAGUUAAUAAGAUGGCAAAUUGUUGUACAUGGUGUUAUUGACGGCUUUAGUCGUCUCAUUGUGCACCUGAGUGCUGCCACCAACAAUCGCGCAGUAACAGUCCUGAGAAGCUUUCUGGAAGCCGUUGAUGUCUAUGGUGUGCCAUCUUCUGUGAGGUCGGAUAAAGGAGGGGAAAAUGUUGAAGUUGCACGCUACAUGGUGGCAAACAGAGGACUUGACAGGAAUGGCAGGAGUGUCCAUAAUCAAAGAAUAGAGAGACUCUGGAGAGAGUGCUUGAUCUCUUCUGCAGCAUCUUUAACAAACAAGAGAGAAGGGCUUCUAAAUCCUGACAGCGAAGUUCAUGUGUUUGCUCUACAUUGGUGCUUUCUGCCUCACGUUCAGAAGCACCUUGAGGUUUUCCAGCGUGGCUGGACUGCCACCGACUGAGCACUGAAGGAAAUCAGUCCCCACUUCAGCUGUGGUCUCGCCAUAAACAUGAGGCACAGCAGGACCCCAUGCAGGUUGUCAUGGACUAUGGAGUUGGUUAUUGAUGUUGUGUUCCCUGAAGUUCAGCUACAGCGCUCGCUGACAGAGCAUGAAAUACAAAGACUACCGAAACCUGAUGGCCCUCUGUCCAAUGUGUUGGAUGUCUACAUACAAACUGUGAGCCAGUUAUCAGAAAUGCUCCUGUAAAUUCCAGAUUCAAAAGCUGUAAGAUGCAGAAGGAUUAACCUAAAAAAAUGUCACGGAGUGACUUUGAGAGCGGAACCAAAAGUGAGAGGAGGAGUUCCGCCCAGACCAAAAUGUGUAAGCCCUUGUCUCUUUUGGAAACUCCGGACGCCCUAAAUCAAGGAACGCCACGAGUGAGACGGAGUGUUUUGGGCGCUGGAGCAGGGUGAAGCAGAUGAGAGCAAGUGUGGAGUCGCUAAGCGAAUUGGAGGAUUUAAAUACGGCUACUGGAACAGGUUUGCCAAAGGGAAGUUUUGUGGAAAGAAGCCAUACUCACCCGUGUCUAUUGUAUAAAGGUCCCGCAGGAAAAUAGCGCUACUGUGGAACGACGAUAACACUUCCGGGUGUCUGUAAGAAGCUGGGGAGAGAAAGAGAGCGGGUGAAGAUCAGUAUCACGAAGACUGUGAGUACAUUGGAUUGUUCACAUAUCAUUGUUCAUACUUGGAUAUGGAUGAUUAAUAUCUGCUGGAGUGAUUAACAGCUUGUUGAGCGGCCCCAUCGUGGAGGACGAGAUGAGUGGGUGAGCCGUAGGAAAGUGGGGGUGAACGGAUGUUAUUUGGCUGUGGCUACACCGCAAAGUUUGGAGCACUUACCGUGCCAGCGACUGUAAACUCCUCCAGGACGAAAUCCGACCGGGUGUGGAGUACCGACCUUAAAAAUCACUGAAGUGUGUGUAGUGCAGUGGGAGAAGGGAAGGGUGCCACGGGAAAUCAAGCCGCGAAGGAAGGACUUAGGAUCAGUCAGGAGAUUGGUGGGAGCUCUGUGAAAGGACGUGAGAGCCCUUGCCCCCCCUCCCCUUGUGACCACUUACCAACGUCCUCCAGAUUUCUCAGGCCCAGUCCCCUCCUAUCAAGAGACGAAAAUCCAAUUUUAGAUUCCCCUUUCUCCUUCCCUAAA
Long non-coding RNA from Carassius auratus (goldfish), 5685 nucleotides. RefSeq lists it as uncharacterized. The record is from RefSeq and is a predicted model, not a curated record. NCBI's taxonomy places the organism in Eukaryota, Metazoa, Chordata, Actinopteri, Cypriniformes, Cyprinidae. The transcript is spliced from 11 exons.